AUGUUGUAUGAAAGGAGAGGUUAGCACUCCCCUUGACAAAAAUGUUCUACACUCUUCUUACUCUUCAGCACUAUCAAGUAAUAAGAAACAAGUACUUGGAAAACGAAAUUGAAACAAUAACUAUUU
This is a non-coding RNA of Mesocricetus auratus (golden hamster), 126 nucleotides long. The record is from Rfam. NCBI's taxonomy places the organism in Eukaryota, Metazoa, Chordata, Mammalia, Rodentia, Cricetidae.